CAGAAAAUUUUGUGCGUGAAGGUGCUUAGGGGGUCGAUAUUAUCUUUGGAGAUCACCUACGGGUAGAGGACUGUACUCGUACCUGUGUCUGCUUCCGCCAAAUAACUUAUGUAAUGGCAAAAACCACUCGAGGAAAAGAAAAUGCAUCUCAGGAUCUUGUCAACUCACCGUUGCGCCGUGUCACUCGGUCACUUGCACGUGCCACUCCAUCACCCUCGGCGAAGGCUGUCCCAAGUUAACCUUCUUCGCCAACAGUGGUUUCAACCAAGAAGAAUACGAGUAAGCUGCCAGGGGCACACGUAUCACCUCUUCUGGACCGAUUACGUAGGAUUACUGGAGAGUGGGAGAAAGAGCAUGAUUUCAGGUCGCCAUCAGUUGCAGCUCCAUCCACAGUCCGACGGAGUCUUCUUCAGGAAUCACAAGCGCCAGAGGAGGAAGAGCUGGAUGGGGAUGACUCAGAAGAUGAUGAAACUAUUGGUCCGACUUAAGAUCAGGUCCCGACUAAUUGCAAUCUCGAUGACGAAGGUGGAGCACAUGAAGCAGAGGCUGAGGAACUCCAGGAGACAUUGGGCAAUGACAUUCGCGAAGAGGAUAUAGCAAUGCAGGAUGAUGGCCCUCUUUCGAAAAAGAAAACUGGAAGAGGUGCCGCAAAGAUGCCCCGUGGUUGGGUUGGUGACAAAUUCCUUCAGGUGUUUGUGUCCGAUGAUGGCAAGCGGAUAAUAUGUACUGAAGUUCAUGGAUAUAAGAGUGCU
Molecule: long non-coding RNA, 752 nt
Organism: Andrographis paniculata
Lineage: Eukaryota; Viridiplantae; Streptophyta; Magnoliopsida; Lamiales; Acanthaceae
Exons: 4
Source: RefSeq, a predicted model, not a curated record